AGUGAACGCUGGCGGCAGGCCUAACACAUGCAAGUCGAACGGCAGCACAGUAAGAGCUUGCUCUUACGGGUGGCGAGUGGCGGACGGGUGAGGAAUACAUCGGAAUCUACUUUUUCGUGGGGGAUAACGUAGGGAAACUUACGCUAAUACCGCAUACGACCUACGGGUGAAAGCAGGGGAUCUUCGGACCUUGCGCGAUUGAAUGAGCCGAUGUCGGAUUAGCUAGUUGGCGGGGUAAAGGCCCACCAAGGCGACGAUACGUAGCUGGUCUGAGAGGAUGAUCAGCCACACUGGAACUGAGACACGGUCCAGGCUCCUACGGGAGGCAGCAGUGGGGAAUAUUGGACAAUGGGCGCAAGCCUGAUCCAGCCAUACCGUGUGGGUGAAGAAGGCCUUCGGGUUGUAAAGCCCUUUUGUUGGGAAAGAAAAGCAGCAGGUUAAUACCCCGCUGUUCUGACGGUACCCAAUGAAUAAGCACCGGCUAACUUCGUG
This 492-nucleotide ribosomal RNA is filed under the name uncultured bacterium. Its description in RNAcentral is "partial 16S ribosomal RNA". It matches the Rfam family "Bacterial small subunit ribosomal RNA", at positions 29 to 507 of the family's 1533-position model. The record is from RNAcentral.